Molecule: non-coding RNA, 97 nt
Filed under: unclassified sequences
Description: malK-III RNA
Rfam family: malK-III RNA
Source: RNAcentral
GAGCGAGGCGUCGCGUACGGGGCUCGUCCGAGACCACACCUGAGGCCGGAUGCAGGAGCCCGCGCUGGUCGAGCCCGGGGAGGAGCGGAGAUCGAUG